This 462-nucleotide ribosomal RNA is filed under the name Triticum aestivum (bread wheat). Its description in RNAcentral is "partial small subunit ribosomal RNA". Lineage: Eukaryota; Viridiplantae; Streptophyta; Magnoliopsida; Poales; Poaceae. The record is from RNAcentral.
AUGUACCCUCAAUAUCGUCCUCGCAUCUUGCUCCUCUUGGCACUAGUACACAAACAAGCAAGCAGCCUGCUGGAUGGAUUAUUGUGGAAGGUAGCUUACAUAUGGAUGGAUUCCUCGUGGAUGACAGCAGAUGACGAGGACCAGUGGCUUCUACCGCGGGAGGCGCGCAUGGUCCAUGCGCUAGUUCUGCUCAAGCCGCUUCAAUUCUUCAUGGCCGCCCGGAGGAAGGGAUGGCUGCAGACGGCCCCGGCUAGAUCUGCCCAGGACUCCGGCGGCUGCGCGCUCCUCAUGGCCGCCUCCUCGGGCCUCCUCGAGCCUGGUGGGGAGGAGGGAACGACCCUGGGGCCGAGGAUUGCGUGGGCGACCUACAGAGAAAGGGGCGAGCGGCGGCGGCGGCAUGAGGCCCUCAGGCGACUUGCGGCGGCGGCUUGCGGCGUGGUAUGCGGUGGAUUUAAUGGGUAG